GUCCCUCACCCUAGGGCCACCGUAACUAGACAGUAGGACAUGUCCCCCAUGAAUGGGGUGAUCGAAGGCCCCCUUCCCGAAGAAGAAUAGUUAAGUUCCAAAGAUGGACGUCAGAACAGUUAGGAAUAACGUUCAAAAUCCUAAGGAAAUUGAACACUCGGACAAAGGAUUCUUAGCAAAGCAAUUUUACUUCUGCGCAGAGGGGUGCCUCCUUGGCCAGUUGCCAUGGGAGCACACCUGAACAAAGGGGCACGAGAGCUUUUAUUCCUGACACAAGUCCUGCCUCUGUACCCUUUCCCCGUUGGUCGGGGUCGGGUCAUACAAUCUAAACUGAUCCCAGUUGGCUAAACAUUUGAUUUUUCUUAGAUAGGGUGGGCACAUGAAAGAAAGUGGAGGGAAAGGGGAAGGGGUGUCUGUAAUGAGCCAGAAAGUGAGUCCUCUUUCCAAAUAAGGAAAGGAAUGUGAGCUGGUCCUGAUAAUGCUUGGCACUGUGGCGUGCCUGGGCAUUUAACAAAGGCAAGAAGGGAAAAGGAGAAAAAAAGGAGAAAAAUUGAGGGGUACUAUGAAUUAAAGAAUACAAGAUUGAUCAGAUUAUUUGAAGAGAAACCUCAUCACAUCCCACACUGUGAAGAGGCUUGAUUGUAAGUUUCCUGAGGCCUUCCCAAUCAUGCGAAACUGUUUUUCACAUUACUUGGCAUUUACCUGCUUUUCCUCGGUGAGACCCAAGUCUUUUCCCUCAAGGGAUUUUCUAAGGGGAAAACAAGCUUCAACAAUGACAGAACUCUGUGAUCAGCUGGAAGUGGUAACAAGAAGGAAACAUGUGGAAUGUUCAUCACAGCUGGCUUCUAGAGACAACUCAAACUCUUUCUGCCCACAUCCUUUCCACUGCCAGAUCUAUGUAAAUGGAAUCAUCCUGUCUACAUUUGAGGUUUAG
Molecule: long non-coding RNA, 934 nt
Filed under: Papio anubis (olive baboon)
Lineage: Eukaryota; Metazoa; Chordata; Mammalia; Primates; Cercopithecidae
Description: lncRNA (ENSPANG00000041657.1)
Source: RNAcentral